RNAcentral lists this ribosomal RNA (383 nucleotides) under uncultured Glomus. Its description in RNAcentral is "SSU rRNA". It matches the Rfam family "Eukaryotic small subunit ribosomal RNA", at positions 569 to 959 of the family's 1831-position model. The record is from RNAcentral. Lineage: Eukaryota; Fungi; Glomeromycota; Glomeromycetes; Glomerales; Glomeraceae.
AGCAGCCGCGGUAAUUCCAGCUCCAAUAGCGUAUAUUAAAGUUGUUGCAGUUAAAAGCUCGUAGUUGGAUUUCGGGAUCAAUAUGUUGGUCGUGCCUCGGUACGUACUAGCUUAUUGGUUUCUCCUUUCUGAAGAACCAUGAUGUCAUUUAUUUGGUGUCGUGGGGAAUCAGGACUGUUACUUUGAAAAAUUAGAGUGUUUAAAGCAGGCUCACGCUUGAAUACAUUAGCAUGGAAUAAUGAAAUAGGACGUUUGAUUCUAUUUUGUGGUUCUAGGAUCGACGUAAUGAUUAAUAGGGAUAGUUGGGGCAUUAGUAUUCAAUUGUCAGAGGUUGAAAUUCUUGGGAUUUUAUUGAAGACUAACUACUGCGAAAGCAUUUUGCC